Non-coding RNA from Callorhinus ursinus (northern fur seal), 100 nucleotides. The record is from RefSeq and is a predicted model, not a curated record. NCBI's taxonomy places the organism in Eukaryota, Metazoa, Chordata, Mammalia, Carnivora, Otariidae.
UCUUUGGAAGUGGACUAAAUCUGCAAGACCUGUCCGGCCAAAUGGCUGCUGACUCCUCCAACUCAAUAUUAUAAAAACAUAAUGUAGGGAUCAGCACAUC